This 207-nucleotide ribosomal RNA is filed under the name uncultured bacterium. RNAcentral's name for it is "partial 16S ribosomal RNA". It matches the Rfam family "Bacterial small subunit ribosomal RNA", at positions 568 to 774 of the family's 1533-position model. The record is from RNAcentral.
CGCGUAGGUGGUUUGGUCAGUCAGAUGUGAAAGCCCUGGGCUUAACCUGGGAAUUGCAUUUGAUACUGCCAGACUAGAGUAUGGUAGAGGGAAGUGGAAUUCCGGGUGUAGCGGUGAAAUGCGUAGAUAUCCGGAGGAACAUCAGUGGCGAAGGCGGCUUCCUGGACCAAUACUGACACUGAGGUGCGAAAGCGUGGGUAGCGAACA